This 245-nucleotide unclassified non-coding RNA is filed under the name Cercophora samala. RNAcentral's name for it is "partial internal transcribed spacer region". The stretch from base 1 to 46 matches the Rfam family "Eukaryotic small subunit ribosomal RNA", at positions 1786 to 1831 of the family's 1831-position model. The record is from RNAcentral. Lineage: Eukaryota; Fungi; Ascomycota; Sordariomycetes; Sordariales; Lasiosphaeriaceae.
AAGUCGUAACAAGGUCUCCGUUGGUGAACCAGCGGAGGGAUCAUUACAGAGUUGAAAAACUCCCCUAAACCAUUGUGAACCUACCACUAAACAGUUGCUUCGGCGGGUGGGCGCCCCUCCUCAGGGAAGGGCGCCCCGCUAGACCGCCCGCCGGAGGUACCCAAAACUCUUGUUUAACUAAAAGGCCUCUCUGAGUACUGUACUUAAAUAAGUCAAAACUUUCAACAACGGAUCUCUUGGUUCUG